This 5646-nucleotide long non-coding RNA is filed under the name Homo sapiens (human). Its description in RNAcentral is "HSALNT0094304". The record is from RNAcentral. Lineage: Eukaryota; Metazoa; Chordata; Mammalia; Primates; Hominidae.
CUUGAACCAGGGAGUUGGAGGUUGCAGUGAGCCAAGAUCGCGCCACUGCACUCCAGCCUGACAACAAAGUGAGACUCCAUCUCAAAAAAUAAAAAAAAAAGAAAGAAAGGAAGAAAGAAAGAAAGAAAGAAAAAGAACGAAAAGAAAGAAAAAAUUGGCAAAAAUUAGUUUGUUAAUAUCAAAUGUAAAGCUAUGGGAAAUAAGUAGCCCCCCCCAAAUUUAAACAUUACAUGUCUAAUGACCAGUUUUAUUUCUUAUUAUUAUACACUCAGAUUUAAUACCACGGUUAAGAACAAGAGGAAUAAACAGAGAUUUUCAUGGCAAUAUUGUUUAUUAUAAAAAAUUUGAAAACAAAUUAUAUUUCCAUCAUUGGGAAAAUAACUAAACUACAAAUAAAUUGCAUGCAUAGUAUAGCAUACACUAUAUAAGGUUAAAAAGUGACACAGAAAAGUCUCCAAAGGGAUUAUGAUGGUGAGAGAAGGCAGUAGGAAGCAAUUAUCAUAAUAAAGCAUUUAGCAUGAUGAAGUAUCCAUCAGAAACACAAACACACACAGCAACACUGUACACUUCUCUAAAUAGUUGCUUGUAUGAGUACAUGUGUAUUUAACACAUUAAAAAGCCUAAAAAUAUACCUGUUAAAUGAUAAUCUGGGAUAAAAAGAGGUAUUACAUGUAGUAGUCAAAAAGCAUUUAACCUUAACCUAUAAUAUUUCAUUUUUUAUCAGUGACAAUGCAUUCUACAUUGCUUGUGUAAUUCUAUAAAUAUUACUAUACAAACCAGUGCUAAAAUGAAUUAUAAUAUGGGAAUAAGCAUGCAUAUGGGGUCUGUAUAUGCAUGCUAGGAGGCCACUUAGUGGAAUGUAGUGGGUGCCUCUUAUUUUUGUACACAGCAUCCCUUUCUCCUUUUCCAGUUAAUAGGACAAUUAAAUUCCUUUUUAUAGUUUUAUUUUGCAUAAACUAAUUCAAAUUGGGUUUGUGUCAUUUGUAACUGAACAAGUCCUUAUUUUCUAACACAUUUUCCGUUUUGUUGUCAUUGUGUUUUAAAAAUGUAAAAACAGCACAUUACUAUGCAACUUCCAGUUUAUCUUGAAGAAAUGAGUCACCACCCAAGUAUGGAGCAUGAGCUUUAUCUCACGGGAUUGGAAAGGCAGACUGGGAAAGGAAUGACACUUUGGAAAUUUACUUUGAGAAAUGUCUGUAUUAUUAAACAGAAUAAGGUUUUCAUUUCUGUAUUCUUUCAGCAAAGCUACUAAUCUGAGCAACGUGGAAUUAAAAUUGUAGACUAAUAAAAGGUAAGAUAUAUAAGAGUAAAGUAUAUAAGAUUCUAACAAUAGAGAUUUUGAUAAUGGGUAGUUGCUUCUUAUUUCCCUUCUGUCAACAGCCACGCCUCGAGAGCCCAGCUCCGGGACCCUGGCACCAGGGGAAGCUCCCAUGACAGAUUACUGUGGUCUCUUGCAUGCUGCUAUAGAUUGCAAUACUGAGACCAUGAUAACCUGCCACUCCCCAAAAUAUUCUUGUCUUGCCUACUUGCUCAAAUAUUGGAGGAUCUGAAGAAAUUACGAAGAAGUUUUGAUCCUUAGUAAUCAGUGAGGAUUGUCCAGAAAAAUAGAACCAAUAGGAUGUGCGUAUAUAUAUGUAAAUGAAAGAGAUUUAUUUUAAAGAAUUGGCUUAUGAGAUUUUCCAGACUUGGUGUGUCCAAAUUCUGAUGAGGAAGCCUGGAAGGCUGAAGACUUAGGAAAGAGUUGCAAUUUGUGUCCAAAGGCAGUCUGCUGGUGAGCCAGGAAGAACUGAUGUUGCAGAUGAAAUCUAAAGGCCCACAGUAGUGGUAACCCCACUUUCCAGGCCCACCAUGUUGGCAAUCCCACCCUUUCUGCUCUGAGAAGAGGGCCAGUCCCUCUGAAUCCAAGGAGAUGACCCCACUCUCUGGAACCAAGCAGGAGAUGGUCCCAUACACAGACUCAGAGUUCACCUCCUCCAGGAAGCCUUCCUUGAGACGCCAUUGCUCACCUGGCUCUACUUGCUUGACCAGAAGUACUUUAAAGAUUAUAUCUUUACAUUUUGUAUCUGCAGGACUUGAAAUAUAAUGAACAUUCCAGACAUAAUUGAUGAAUAAAAUAACAUCCAAUCCCUUCAUUUUAUAGAUUGGUUGAUGAAGACCUUGGACUUUUGGCCAAGAUUGAACAUCUACAGUGGAGAUUAUUUAGUGCUGUUUUCUAUUCACAGGCCUAGCCACUCCAACCUGUCUGUUGUCUUUACAUCAUAGGACUUUACCCAAGGUGCACUCUAUAAUACAUGCCAGUCCAAAUAUACAUUCUGACAGACAAUCUAGCUGCCCACAUCUGUCAGAUGGCUCUUUCUGUGACAACUGAGGAUAAGAAUUUUUUUCUUUAAGAAUUAGAGCUAAAUAUUAUGAAAUAUAAUCUAGACUUCAAGAAACUUUGACAGUUACCUGUAUCACCGUCUGUGGAUGAAUAAAAAUCUCUUUGACAUCUAAGACAAAAUGGCCAUUCACCAUCUAUCUGAAAAUUCUAGUGAGGACAGCCAUACUUUCUGAGGCAUGUUGAAUGGCUAACAUUUUAGAAUUCUUCCUUACAUUGGCUGAAAUAUGACUGAAGUUUCACAGAUUUACCCUUAUUCCUCAUGAUAAAAGUACAGAAGUUUGUUAAGUGUCCUUGGUGACAGGUUGGUCAAGAUUGGACCUUCCAUAGGAUUACUUAGUCUCACAUCCCCUCAUGGCUACGGAUCUCAUAAGGAUGGGUCUGAACAUCAAAAAUAUCACUGUUUUUAUUCAGGUACUGACAGCGCCAUAUAAAUAUGGCUUAAAGCAUGGCUAUAAGAAGAGUGAAUAUUCUAAUGACCUGUCUUGAGUGAAGCUGAUGAGACUGUAUUUUGAGUCUUACUGUACCUGUUAAGGCUAUGCAGCGUAUUUAGAGAGAAAUGUGGAAUUUGUUAUAUAAAGGUAAGUUUAAAUAGGGUGCUAAUAUCUAUGAAGGUCAACUUUGUUAAUUCAACACAAAUAAAAAUCCAAGCCAUGGUCAUUCAGCACACAUAAAGUCUAAGUAAUUUCAAAUAAAAUUACUGCUUGGCUGAAUGCUUAAGCAAUUUUGGAUUGCUGGAGUGAAUCAAAGAAUACUCAUAAUGUAAGCUCAUUAGAUUCACAGAGAGAUAUGCUGAUUUAAUUCAAGUGUUCUGCUGUCCAUUUAAACUUCACCUUCUUUUCUUACUUUGGAUUACUAGAUGUUUUUGUUAAUCUUAUUUGACAAGCUGCAUCUAGUCUUAUGAAUUUAACCUUUUUGUGAAUUGUCUUUGCUAUUAAAAAUUCUGUAACUGUCAAUCACUUGAAUCAUGUGGAGUUAUGAAAAAUGUCUGAUCCUUGAAUGUAUAUCUUUUCUCUCUCCAUCUGUAAUAUCUUACUAUGUACAGAAUAAAUUAGAAACUUAUCUGUGAUGUUAAUAUUUCUGAUAGCUUAAAUAUGUCACUUUACAUACGAUUUAUAUGUAAAAUGAUUUCUAAAUAUGAUAAAAUGUAUCCCAGACUUAAUAGAGGUUUAGCUGAUAUUUUGGCUCAGCUUUUAUUUUUUUAAUUAAUUAAUUAAUUAAUUAAUUAAUUAAUUUGUUUUUGAGACAGAGUCUUGCUCUGUCACCAGGCUGGAGUGCAGUGGCACGAUCUCAGCUCACUGCAACCUCCACCUCUUGGGUUCAAGCGAUUCCCCUGCCUUAGCCUCCCAAGUAGCUGGGAUUACAGGCAUGCACCACCACGCCUGGCAAAUUUUUUGUAUUUUAGUAGAGACGGGGUUUCACCAUGUUGGCCAAGACACUCUCGAUCUCCUGACCUCGUGAUCCACCCACCUCGGACUCUCAAAGUGCUGAGAUUACAGGCGUGAGCCACCACGCCCGGCCAGCUUUUAUUUUAUAGUUUGGUGUUUCUAUGGGAGAUUUAGGGGGAAACCUUAGUUUCUUCUUUUGUCACAUAAUGUUUCCCGCCAUAUAGGAAAAGAUAAUAUUUUAAAAAAUUACAAAAUUACCCUAAAAAGGAGUUCCCUUUUCUUAAGAUACAUACAAGUUUUCACUCAGAAAAGUUGAAUAUUUUAUAUAUAUCUCCGGGAUUUUAGAUUUUUCACUUCAUGGACUGCAUGAUAAAUCUCAUUAAAUCCAUUUGAGAAAAGGUCUGUUCCUCUGUUUAAGAAUUGUUUGAAGACUUUGCAGGAAAUGAUAGUGUGGUAGUAGAUAAAUUCUAUCCCCUGCUUCACCUCUAACCACUGCACUCUUAGACCACGGACAACUUAUAAAAAUAAACUAUCACGUUGUAUUCAAUUAUUCAGGCAAGUGGAGGUUGUAAACCACCCUCUCCCUAAUUUCUCUGCCUCCAACAUAUUAAAACUACCACAUCUUGGCUCCAAGGAUUCAUGGACUGUUGAAUUUGCCCCUACCAAGCAGAGAUGGUGGACAGCAUUAUGAAUAAUAGCUGAUUUUAUUUUAAGUGGGAAUAAAGAGAACUAUAAAAAUCCUUUAACUGUUCCCUCCUACUUAUUAGUGUCUCAAAAUUUUUGACUCAUAACACAUAGAAAAAUCACAAGAUUUGCUUCAAAACAAAAAUAUUAAAAUAUUAAAACCCCAAGUGCAUGGUUUUCUAUAACGUAAUUCAGUUAUUGUAAACUCUGCUUUGUCUCAUAGGAAUACAGUUAUUCACUAAGAACCUUCAGAAGAAAGGAAAAAUAAACAUAUAAAUGUUAAGAUUUGUCCCAUUUCAUACCUCAUCUAGCAUGGUUUUUUUUCAAAUUACUACAUACAUGGCCCUUUUUUUUGCUAGAACUCUUUCCCCUGGAGACUGAAUUGUAGAGAUAACACAGAAUGGAAUGAUUUUUAUUUUAUAAUUAAAGACAGCUUCUUGGGUGUUAUAAUAAUGGUAAAAUAUAGACUGUGUCUAAAGCAAAAUACAGCAAACAAAUGCAAUAUUGGGGCUAUCUGGGCUUAAAAUGCAUUUUCUAUUGUAAUUACCUAACCAUUUCAGCAAAAAAGGGAAUUUUAUUAAGAUUUGAGUUAACUCAUUUAAUCUGGCCAUCUAUCGUUGUCAUUUUAAAUAUCCAUUUCAUUUUGAGUAUUUGGGCACACAUUUUGUUUAUAGGUACAUGGGAAAAUCUAGCACAUAAUUAAUAUAUUAAACUGGCUGUCUUUAUAUCACAACAUAGUCUAUUUAAUCUAUUAUGUUGUUUAACCAAAACCAAACUAUAAAAAGCAAGCAUGGAUAUAGUAGAUUUUUUCUCAGAAAAAAAGCUUGACUAUUAUUUUUAUGAAAUUGCAAAGAAUUACAAUAUUCUUUCACACUGCGUUUCAAGAAAAUGAGCAAAGGAUAUUUAUAGACAUGUUUUUGAUAGAUACCCCAGUGACAACGGAAGUCACUUUUAAAUUAUAAGGUAAAAUGUGAAACUAAUAGAUAAAAUUUGACAUGUUAAGAGUUGCAUCUUCCUCAAAUAUAAAGAUAAGAACCAAUGUAGUUUGAAAAUAGCAAAAGCGCUUUCACUAUCCUAUGGACAGAUAUUUUGGAAAACCUAUUACUUUUACCAAUUAAAUUUAAAACUGCACUGCCUGGUUGUUUCUUUGUUUAUAUAUUUGUAUUCCAUCUUAUUUUAAUAAAGUUUUAAGAGGAA